CUACGGGUUGCAGCAGUGGGGAAUAUUGCACAAUGGGCGCAAGCCUGAUGCAGCCAUGCCGCGUGUAUGAGGAAGGCCUUCGGGUUGUAAAGUACUUUCAGCGGGGAGGAAGGGAGUAAAGUUAAUACCUUUGCUCAUUGACGUUACCCGCAGAAGAAGCACCGGCUAACUCCGUGCCAGCAGCCGCGGUAAUACGGGAGGGUGCAAGCGUUAAUCGGAAUUACUGGGCGUAAAGCGCACGCAGGCGGUUUGUUAAGUCAGAUGUGAAAUCCCCGGGCUCAACCUGGGAACUGCAUCUGAUACUGGCAAGCUUGAGUCUCGUAGAGGGGGGUAGAAUUCCAGGUGUAGCGGUGAAAUGCGUAGAGAUCUGGAGGAAUACCGGUGGCGAAGGCGGCCCCCUGGACGAAGACUGACGCUCAGGUGCGAAAGCGUGGGGAGCAAACAGGAUUAGAUACCCCGGUAGUC
RNAcentral lists this ribosomal RNA (465 nucleotides) under uncultured bacterium. Its description in RNAcentral is "partial 16S ribosomal RNA". It matches the Rfam family "Bacterial small subunit ribosomal RNA", at positions 339 to 795 of the family's 1533-position model. The record is from RNAcentral.